GGAAUGAUGGUUCAGUGCUUAAGAGCACUGGCUGCUUUUCCAAAAGGCCUGGGUUCAAUUCCCAGCGUUCCA
RNAcentral lists this transfer RNA (72 nucleotides) under Mesocricetus auratus (golden hamster). It matches the Rfam family "tRNA". Rfam says of the family: Transfer RNA (tRNA) molecules are approximately 80 nucleotides in length. Lineage: Eukaryota; Metazoa; Chordata; Mammalia; Rodentia; Cricetidae. The record is from Rfam by way of RNAcentral.